Molecule: long non-coding RNA, 290 nt
Organism: Homo sapiens (human)
Lineage: Eukaryota; Metazoa; Chordata; Mammalia; Primates; Hominidae
Exons: 2
Source: RefSeq, a predicted model, not a curated record
UGGUGUAAGGAAGAUAAAAAGCAGAUGGAAUAGCAAUAACAACAACUAAAGGACAGAAAAACCUAGCAACCACAAGGCAAGAGCAAGAUAAAAAUAAGAAUAAUAAAAGAUAAAUGCACGAAUUCCUAAACACCUUCCUCCUCUUCUCUCAGGAGUUCCAAUGCCUGAAUAGGAAAAUAACAGACAUCCCAGAAGAAUACUGAACAAUGCAUACAAAUAAGUACAUCGCUGAAGAAGCAAACUGCCCAAUAAAGUCUUCAAUCUCUGUGGUGGUAAGAAUGAUCAGGAAA